AUUCCAAACAAAGCCAAGGACAAACUGGAUUGCUUCUUUGGCAACAAGCAGAACCCUGAUUUUGCAGCCACCAGAGCAGAAAAUUGCAGGCAACACAUCUAGAACAGAAAAUGUACAGAAAAAGAAAAAAAAUAGAUCCUCAAAACAUGGAUAACCUCAGAAAUGCAGGAGAGGUCCCAUGAUAGCAGAUAACCCAGCAAGAGAAUACAAGGAGCCCUUGCUUCAAAAUCCCAAUUUCUGACGGUUACCAUGGAUAAACACUAGUGGAUAAACACAUUUAUUCAUUUGUUUUUGCACCAGCCUCAAUCCAUUUCCCUACCUCAUCCAAUCCAGAAGAACUAAAGAAAAAACUCAAUAGCAAUUCAAAGACUCAUUAAGAUUUUAGACAUUCAAACAACUAUUACAAAAAAAGCCUCCUUUUGAUAGAAUUUCAUAAAGUUUCUCACCCUG
Anolis carolinensis (green anole) is the source of this 450-nucleotide long non-coding RNA. RefSeq lists it as uncharacterized. The record is from RefSeq and is a predicted model, not a curated record. The transcript has 3 exons. NCBI's taxonomy places the organism in Eukaryota, Metazoa, Chordata, Lepidosauria, Squamata, Anolidae.